Molecule: ribosomal RNA, 2739 nt
Filed under: wastewater metagenome
Description: eukaryotic LSU rRNA
Rfam family: Eukaryotic large subunit ribosomal RNA
Source: RNAcentral
GCUGCUAUGGCCAUAAUGGCCUAUUGCUGCUAUGGCCUAUUGCUGCUAUGGUCUAUUGUCGCUAAUGGAGGGAGCUCAAGCAUUAGGAUCUGAAGUUGAGCACAUCCGCUAGGACCCGAAAGAUAGCGAACUUUUCCUGGGCCGAAGGAAGCCAGGGGAAACCUUGGUGGACGUUCGAAUCAAUGCUGACGUGCAAAUCGCUUGUCAGAUCCAGGUAAAGGGGCGAAAGACUAAUCGAACUAUCUAGUAGCUGGUUCCCCCCGAAGUUUCUCUCAGGAUAGCUGGGAACCUUGAGUUGCGCCAGGUAAAGCAAAUGAUCAGAAGCAUUGGGAUGUUUUUUAUCUCAACUUAUUCUCAAACUCUAAAUGGGCGCGGAGCAUAGCUUUCUUUCAUGAAGCUAUGACUUGAAUCUCGGUUCCCAUGUGGGCCAUUUUUGGUAAGCAGAAUUGGCGACGCGGGAUGAACCGAUAGUAGCUCUAAGGAACCUAAGCCGUCGGCUUAGACAGAACCCAUUGAAGGAUGUUGGUGUAGGAAGACAGCAGGGCCGUGGCCAUGGAAGUAGGAAUCGGCCAAGGAGUGUGUAACAACUCACCUGCCGACUGCACCAGCUCCCAAAAUGGACGAUGCUUAAGCCGCGCUCCGAUGGGCUACCGCCGCAGCCGUAGACACAAUCGGCCGGCGCGUAGGGGGGCGUGGGGCACGGGCAGAAGUGUGUGAGGUGACUCCACAUGGACCGUGCACCCAGUGCAGAUCUUGGUUGUAGUAGCGAUUAUUCUGUGGAGGACACAGAAGAUUGAAGCGGAGUCGGUUUCCAUGUGAACAGUACUUGGACAUGGGUUAGUCGGUCCUAACCCCCGAGGAAAUCCUCCUUGGAAAGGCCUCGCGACAAGGAGUAGUCGUUAACUCUCUCUCCGGGGAGUUGAUGGUUACUCCGUGUUCGUAGGCAUCGGGGGACAGGGAACUCGGUCCAACAUUCCGAGACCCACCUGUGGGGAUUAGAGGCUGCAAAGCAGUUGACAACGGAAGGCCGCAGGGUAGUCAAGCCCGAGGAGAGCUUUCUUUUCUCUUUGACAUUGCUGACGCCUCGAAUAACAUUCCAGUUGGAGAAAGGCGUCGGAACACAUAGAGAAAGCGGUGCACUCUCAGCGCCGUUCGGAGCCUUGAUUAUCCUCAUGGAAGACCUUCCUGAGAUCUCAUCCCUCACGGGCGGACCGUACCGAUAACCGCAUCCGGACUCCGAGGUGAAUAGCCUCUGGUCCAUGGAGCAAUGUGACCAAGGGAAGUCGGCAAAAUAGACGCGUAACUUCGGGAGAAGCGUUGGCUCCAAGGGCUGGAUGUCAGAAGCCAGCAACACUGACGGUUCUGGGGGCUGUGGAAUAGAUGAGUUCUCGGGUCCUCGGAUCUGAGAACAAGUCGGUUCCACGGCACCCCCUGAUGGGUUGUUGGAUUUUUGGCAUUGCGAACAGCCAACUUGGAACUGUCGCCGACAAGGGGAAUCCAACUGUUUAAUUGAAACAUAGCAUUGAGACUCGCACGUUGAGGCAGUCGUUGACUCAAGGUGCGUCCUGCCCAGUGCUCUGAAUGUUAAUGCAAAGAGAUUUUAUCAAGCUCGGGUAAACGGCGGGAGUAACUAUGACUCUCUUAAGGUAGCCAAAUGCCUCGUCUUCUAACUAAAGACGCGCAUGAAUGGAUUAAUGAGAUUCCCACUGUCCCUGGUUACUAUCCAGCGAACCAACAGUCAAGGGAACGGGCUUGAAGUCUUCAGCGGGGAAAGAAGACCCUGUUGAGUUUGACUCUAAUCUGGACUUGUGCAGUGACAUUCGAGGUGUAGGAUAGGUGGGAGAUGCGCAAGCAUCAACGGUGAAAUACCACUACUCGGAUUGUUGCUUUGCUCAUCGCAUCGAAUAGGAACGGCAGUCGCCCAGCUUCUGCUGGGUUGAGGAUCUCCCCUCGGGGAGAUCCGUGGCUUUUCCGAUUCGAGCGGUAACCACAGAUCUUUCUGUGGGACCUAUCGCUGCGAGACAUUGGCCAGAUGGGGAGUUUGGCUGGGGCGGCAUAUCUGUUAAACUCUAACGCAGGUGUCCUAAGGCACACUCAGUGAGAACAGAAAUCUUACGUGGCGGAUAAGGCCAAAAGUGUGCUUGAGCUCUCGAUCUCCAGUACUGAUCCAGACUGUGAAAGCAAGGCCUAACGAUCCUUUGUACUCAUCAUGUUCAGAGUACGAAGUCAGAGGUGACAGAAAAAUUACCACAGGGAUAACUGGCUUGUGGCAGCCAAGAGUCCAUAUCGACGCUGCUUUUUGAUCCUUCGAUGUCGGCUCUUCCUAUCCUUACCCUGCAGAAGAGGUAAAGGGUUGGAUUGUUCACCCAUCAAAAGGGAACGUGAGCUGGGUUUAGACCGUCGUGAGACAGGUUGGUUUUACCCUACUGAAGAGUAUAAGGCGUGUUGAAGGUAAUCUGGGGUAGUACGAGAGGAACUCCCAUUUCGUGCUGCUGGUUUCUGCUCCUGGCUGACCAACCAGUGGAGCGAAGCUACGCACGAUGAUGUAUGGCUGAAAGCCUCUUAAGCCAGAACUCAGUCCAGUGACACGCCCAUGCCUUACGGCGUGGCGAGGACCGAAUUCUGACUCUGGGACGAACUCUCGUAGUAAGUCGCAUGGCCAAGAGCGCGACGAACCUCGAAAAGCAGGUUCUGUUGCGCCUUGGUAAUAAAAACAUCCAUAGUCAUGGUCCCGCUUGU